AUUGAACGCUGGCGGCAGGCCUAACACAUGCAAGUCGAGCGGAGCGGCGGACGGGUGAGUAAUGCCUAGGAAUCUGCCUGGUAGUGGGGGAUAACGUCCGGAAACGGGCGCUAAUACCGCAUACUAUCAGAUGAGCCUAGGUCGGAUUAGCUAGUUGGUGGGGUAAAGGCCUACCAAGGCGACGAUCCGUAACUGGUCUGAGAGGAUGAUCAGUCAAACUGGGACUGAGACACGGCCCAGGCUCCUACGGGAGGUAGCAGUGGGGAAGAUUGGACCAUGGGCGAAAGCCUGAUCCAGCCAUUCCGCGUGGUUGAAGAAGGGUUUUGGAUUGUAAAGCACUUUUAGUUGGGAAGCGGUAACAACAGAAUAAGCACCGGCUAACUUCGUGCCAGGCGCCGCGGUAAUUC
Molecule: ribosomal RNA, 407 nt
Filed under: uncultured bacterium
Lineage: Bacteria
Description: partial 16S ribosomal RNA
Rfam family: Bacterial small subunit ribosomal RNA
Source: RNAcentral